This 263-nucleotide ribosomal RNA is filed under the name uncultured bacterium. Its description in RNAcentral is "partial 16S ribosomal RNA". It matches the Rfam family "Bacterial small subunit ribosomal RNA", at positions 20 to 311 of the family's 1533-position model. The record is from RNAcentral.
UGGCUCAGAACGAACGCUGGCGGCAUGCCUAACACAUGCAAGUCGAACGCCCUAGCAAUAGGGAGUGGCGCACGGGUGAGUAACGCGUGGGAAUGUACUGUUUAGUGGGGGAUAACUUCGGGAAACUGAAGCUAAUACCGUAUACGCCCUUCGGGGGAAAGAUUUAUCGCUAAAGGAUUAGCCCGCGUGAGAUUAGGUAGUUGGUGGGGUAAUGGCCUAGGAAACCUACGAUCUCUAGCUGGUCUGAGAGGAUGAUCAGCCAC